GGCCGCGGCCGGAACGCGGGAGGGGAUCGACGGGCCGGGCCGGCCGCUCGCGCGCCUGUCGGCGGUGGAUUGCAGUGAAGUCGGCUUGUUGAACACGGGAUUUCCCCCAGCAGCGCGCCGUGGCUGCGCUUCCAACGGCAAAUAACCAGCGCCGGGGCGGCAGCCGAGCACCAAGGCCGCACACCCUCUGCUCGAGUUUCCCGAAUCCUUGGAGAUUUGCUUUAAUUUUAAUUGAAAAUUAGGUCCGGCGAUACGUAUCCGGUUAAAACAGUCGGUUUCUCAUGUGUCUGAUCGGGAUGAAUGAUGAGCUAUUUGUUCCGGCUAUGGCCACAGCACUUUUCUUUUUAAUCACUACUUUCCACAAAAUACAGUGCUAGUAGCAACUUUCCUGUUUAGUUUGGAAGACGUUGAUCAAAAGAUUUAAUAUUAGAUGACUGAAGUUUCUGGCACUGUUUUCUUCCAAUUUAGGGCUACUAGCAACUUUUCUGAUUAGUAUUUCGGAGGACACUAGUCUGAGUGUUUUAAACUUGAAUGGCUAAAGCUAGGGCUCUAAGCAGAGAAGUGGUUAAGUGUAUAGUUUCCUUGUUGCUCAAACUGUUGUAGAGGGUGAGUAUGAUAUUAUUGCUUUGUUUUUAAUAUAUACAGUUAACCUAAAAAGACUAUAUUGCAUCUUCAACAUAUUUACUUCAUUUAAGAUAGCCAGCUUUGGAAUGCAAAAAUCACUAUUUUUUGUAAUUGCAUUUCGAUCAUUAAGUUACACUCUUUAGAAGGAGCCUUACAAAUCAUUAUUUUAUUCUCCAGAUUGCAGAUUAUAGUCUCCCUUGAACUGGAGGGAAGGUGAAUGAAAGCCCUGAGUGUAUUCCAUAAUAGGCCUAUUGGUCUACUAGUAGAUAAAACUUGGCAACUUCUACCUAUGAAUAUCACUUCCCCUCCCUCUCCUUUUUCUUAAAAACUGGUGCUUAUUUUAUGUCACACUUAUCUGACAACGUUCAGUGGCAGAAAAAGGAUAACAAUGAGAACAAAGUAACAGGAGAGAUUUGAAGAGGAGAAUGGGACAGAAAGAAACAGGCACUUCAUUUAAAUCAGUCUUUAAGAACAAAUCAUUCUAGGCAGGACUGAGCACUAUUAAUAUCACCCUGGCCUCAUGAUAGAGGCACUGUUACAGCUUAAGAUGCAUUUGCCUUUGUGAUUGGUCUUUGUUUAAGCACACAAGUACUUUUCAGAUAUACUCUCAGUGAGACAGUGAGUGAUGUGUAAUGCGUUAUUUUUGCAGCAUUUUUAGCCCAGAAGAGAAUGGAGGAAAAUAUUUUAAAAUCAGUGGUUGCUUUAAUCUAUUUCAGACAUCCUCCUUCUUAGUAUGGUGUAAGUAGUCCUUAGUAUGUCAGUAAGUAAUGAAAUAUAUGUAUUAUCAAUCAGUAUUUUAACUGCUUCCUGAUAAGGUUAUCAAUUCUCUUCGGUUGCUCGUAUUCAGUUUUCUAAGUAUUUCACAUGCAGCCCUUGAAUUAGACUUCUCUAUUCUGGGAGCACUGCAUUACCCCGCAGUUAUCUUGCCUAGCCAAGCGUUACCUCUCGGGUUAAACAAAACUGGGCAGACAUCAGCGCAGUUUUAUGGCUGACCAAAAGAGCAAAGCACAGAUAGCCUGCGAGACACAUCCAAAAGCCUCCAAAUGGCCAAGACUGACAAACCACUACUCUUGAAGGGGAGGCAGGGAGCUCCAAGAGCAGCUCCCAGGCAGGAAUAACCCCCGAGUCCCAUACCUAGUGACAUAAAUAGGCCGUGCUGAUCACUUUCAGCAUGAUCCGGCAGAGUCCUUACUUUGACCCGCUGCCAGGAAUUCAUAAUAUCAAGCAGCCCUUGUGCCAGCACAGUCCUGUUCAGUCCCGGGAUGUAGCCACAACACAGAAGGCACACUUUAAGUGCUUUUCAAGCUCACAAAUCUCAAUUGCUUUGUAGCAUAUUUAUAGUGACAAAGCUGCCCACGGACUGCUGGUAGCGCAGCAGGUAACAAGGGAAGCAGCUGAUUCCCAUCCACCUCUCGAUGGCAGGAAGAAAGCUUAUCUGUACCCACCUGGGAAAACCACUUUUUAAGAGAGAGGGGCAAGGCAGUACAAGACCCAGUACUGGCCUCCUAUAGACUGGCAACAUAUAUGCUCCAGCUUUAGAACAGAGCCUCUCCAGGUUGCCUGCAUACCUUGAGUCCUACUCUUCAGGGGUGGUAGACUCAAAGCCUCAGGCUGGAUUACCAUCUUAAGUGAUGACAGGUUUUGCAGGAGUAGGUAGUUGGAAAAUACAAAAACUACUAGGAAAAUAAAAUACAAACCUCAAUUUCACCUCAUGGCCAGUGGCAGAUACUUCCUUAGUAGUUAUAGAGCAUCUCAACUAACAUCCAUAGGGAAGGGAAACAGCCAGCGAAGUGAGCGCCCAGUUUUUACAGGACAACUUUUUUCUCUGAUAACUAACAUGCAGUUCUGGGUGGAAAAGUGGAAAAGGAAAGAAAUGGGAGUCUUAACAUUAGAUACAAGAAAUUAGAUUUCUUCCUCUACUCCUGCAAUCUAGGAGACUCUGGCUAGUCAUUUGUCAGCAACAUUCAGCACCACUCAGAACUGAUAGCAACCCAUUUUUUCUGUUAGAUAUGACACUUUCUCCCUGUCAAGUUUUAGAAUGACAGUAGUGGGUGAAGAAACUCCCAGACUUAAUAAAGGCAAAGCAUUCUGCUGAUAUUUGCUUAGCUGAAGAGUAAUACCCGGGCAGAUCUUGUUUAGGCAAGAAAAGCAAAAUGGGAAGAUGAAUUCUACUUGUUUAUGCUUUUGUUAGUAUCAUUCCACUGACUUGGCUAUACAGGCUCUUGGUUCACUUAACCUUGAGAACUGUUGGCUCCAGGAACGCUAAUGGCAUUAUGCAUUAACUGUGUUACAGAAAAAAAUAGCAUAUACUGCUAAGUUUGGUGCUUCUAAACAUGUAGCAAUGUCUUCAAGGUACAAAAAGUACCUUACAUAUCUUCCAUGCUUUAUUUCUACAACAAAAAUGUCCACAUCUGUAUCAAGACAGUGGUAUAACUCACUCUUUCAGGUAUAAGUGACAAAUAAUAGAAAGUGAUGAUGUCUGUCAUUUGUAGGUGGAUGAGCACUCACCAUAGGUUUAAGGGCAGGAAGGCCUCUUUUUUAAACUCCUCUCCAUGUAAAGGAGUGUGUAGUUGCUUAUCAUUCAGGCUGGUUUUGACAGAUUUCUCAAAAUCCUCUUCCAUCUGCUGGCAGCCAAGGAAUGCAGCACAUACGGGCCCAAAUAAAACCUCCCUGAAACUAAUAUUCCUACACUGAAUAAUGUUGAGGUACACUGUGCUAGCUCAGGGGAGCAGAAUUAAGCAUUUUUAACUGGCUGGUUUUUUUCUCCUGUGACUCAGCACAUCCAAAGUUUACGAAGCAGACAUAGAAAGGAGAGAGAAAAUGAGAUGAAAACUGGAAAUCAGUAGCAGACUCUAGGGGCAAAUAAAGACAUGCCUAUGGCAGCUGUAGGACAGAGACACAAAACAAGCCGGGGAGUGAUGACAGGUAGGACAGAGAAAGGACAUUUAUUGUCAUCUCUGCUUCAAAAGGAGAUCAAAGAACACGGUCCGCUAGCCCUCUGUUAUCAUUUAUUGGGAAAAAUCGAAGAACAGGGGAUCAAUCUCUGCAAUCUUCCUUUCAGUACUACUGCGUGCAGAAGUGAGGAGUACGGACAGGUACACAGAGAGAAACUAGCAGCCUUCUCCUGGUGUGCAGGGAUAGUGCCAAAACACAGGACUUCCUCAGAAGCGUAACAUUUAAACAAACAACCGUAUUACUGUGAUUUUAUUAUCCCAAGAGGUUUUUCUUCUUUUAGUAAUUGAUAGCCAUGCAUCCAGAAAGCUGCAGUGCCAAGCCCAAAAAGGGAGUACAAGUAAAUGCAUGUCACCUGCAAGAGACUGGUGGAGAGGACUCAAGGAAACAGAACUCCUCCUUUUCAAAGCUACUAUUAGGAGACUUAUGGAGAAUUAUCGGUAGGAAGGUGAAACAGAUCCUCAACAACUGCUUUUGUAUCAUUUAAUCCUAGAAUAACCCAAUUGCUGUGAGGUUUGCAAGAAGUCUGUUCAAAAUUCAUAUGGGGAGAGGAGUAAAAAUAAACCUGUAUUAUCCCAA
Molecule: long non-coding RNA, 4155 nt
Organism: Tyto alba (common barn owl)
Lineage: Eukaryota; Metazoa; Chordata; Aves; Strigiformes; Tytonidae
Exons: 2
Source: RefSeq, a predicted model, not a curated record